GUCUUCUUGAUUUUAUUUAUAAGAAGUCGGGCCUGCCCAGUGACAAAAAAGUUUAACGGCCGCGGUAUUUUGACCGUGCGAAGGUAGCGUAAUCAUUUGCUCUAUAAUUGAGGGCUUGUAUGAAUGGUUUGACGAGAGCUUAACUGUCUCUAUAGGAUUUAAUAGAAUUUGACUUUUGGGUAAAAAGGCUCAUAUAGAAUUAAAAGACGAGAAGACCCUAUUGAGCUUAUGAUAAUUUUGGGUAAUAUAUGAUUUAAAUAUAUCUUUAAUUGGGGCAAUUAAGGAACAAAAGAAGUUUCCUUUAAAAAGAUUUAUUUGCAGAUCUUGAUCCAAGAAUUGUGUUGAUCAAAGGACAAAGUUACCAUAGGGAUAACAGCGUUAUCUUUCUUGAGAGUUCUUAUCGAAAGGAGGGAUUGCGACCUCGAUGUUGGACUAGAGUAUCCUAAAGAUGCAGAAG
This 457-nucleotide ribosomal RNA is filed under the name Epitonium replicatum. Its description in RNAcentral is "partial 16S rRNA". It matches the Rfam family "Bacterial large subunit ribosomal RNA", at positions 1819 to 2561 of the family's 2925-position model. The record is from RNAcentral. Lineage: Eukaryota; Metazoa; Mollusca; Gastropoda; Epitoniidae.